Notolabrus celidotus (New Zealand spotty) is the source of this 330-nucleotide long non-coding RNA. RefSeq lists it as uncharacterized. Lineage: Eukaryota; Metazoa; Chordata; Actinopteri; Labriformes; Labridae. The record is from RefSeq and is a predicted model, not a curated record. The transcript has 3 exons.
AGGAACAUGGCGGUGCAAGAUGGCAGCCUCCAUGGAAGGGGACCUGCUCAGAGGCUUUCUAUCUGCUACCGCUGAUUUCCCUACCCGGCAGUGGGUGGCGAGAUGAUGUCACGGCAAACAAGGCACAGCAUUGUCAUGCAGCAGAGAGGCCGGCCCCUUCUCUGCAGCUUCACUGCUUCAAAAAGAAUAUCCAAGGAGGGGAAGUGUAGCAGAAUGAGCAGUGGGAGCAGCCAUGUGCCGAUACCAUUAGCAUCCACAACAACAUCCCCUUGAGCUGACGUCUUUGCAUGUUUUAAGCCGGAGCUAAUAAAGGAACCAGACUCUAAUGAA